UGUACUAAGGUAGCAUAAUCAAUAGAUUAUUAAUUGUAAUCUCGAAUGAAUGAUUUAAUAAAAUAUUAAUUUUAUUAAAAUUAAUUUAUGAAUUUUAUAAUUUAAUUAAAAAGUUAAAAUAUAAAUUUGGGACGAGAAGACCCUGUAGAAUUUUAUUUAAACUAAAUUAAAAAAAUUUUUUUUUAAAUUUGAUUGGGGAGAUAAAUAAAAUUAAUAAACUUUAGUUGACUAUUCAUUAAUUAAUGUUACAAUGAUCAAUUAUUAAUGAUUAAAAAAUUAAAUUACCUCAGGGAUAACAGCAUAAUAAAAUUAAAAAGUUCUUAUUUUUAAUUUAUUAUAUGACCUCGAUGUUGGAUUAUAAAAAAAUUAAUUUGAAGAAAAAUUAAAUUUUAGUCUGUUCGACUAUUAAAUUUUUACAUGAUCUGAGUUCAAACCGGUGUGNGCCAGGUCGGUUUCUAUCU
This 461-nucleotide ribosomal RNA is filed under the name Dicrodiplosis manihoti. Its description in RNAcentral is "partial large subunit ribosomal RNA". The stretch from base 292 to 450 matches the Rfam family "Bacterial large subunit ribosomal RNA", at positions 2473 to 2632 of the family's 2925-position model. The record is from RNAcentral. Lineage: Eukaryota; Metazoa; Arthropoda; Insecta; Diptera; Cecidomyiidae.